Molecule: ribosomal RNA, 491 nt
Filed under: uncultured soil bacterium
Lineage: Bacteria
Description: bacterial SSU rRNA
Rfam family: Bacterial small subunit ribosomal RNA
Source: RNAcentral
GCUGGCGGCAUGCCUAACACAUGCAAGUCGAACGAAGGCUUCGGCCUUAGUGGCGCACGGGUGCGUAACGCGUGGGAAUCUGCCCUCAGGUACGGAAUAACUCAGGGAAACUUGAGCUAAUACCGUAUAAUGACUUCGGUCCAAAGAUUUAUCGCCUGAGGAUGAGCCCGCGUCGGAUUAGCUAGUUGGUGAGGUAAAGGCUCACCAAGGCGACGAUCCGUAGCUGGUCUGAGAGGAUGAUCAGCCACACUGGGACUGAGACACGGCCCAGACUCCUACGGGAGGCAGCAGUGGGGAAUAUUGGACAAUGGGCGCAAGCCUGAUCCAGCAAUGCCGCGUGAGUGAUGAAGGCCUUAGGGUUGUAAAGCUCUUUUACCCGGGAUGAUAAUGACAGUACCGGGAGAAUAAGCCCCGGCUAACUCCGUGCCAGCAGCCGCGGUAAUACGGAGGGGGCUAGCGUUGUUCGGAAUUACUGGGCGUAAAGCGCACGU